GGGUGCGAUCAUACCAGCACAAAUGCACCGGAUCCCAUCAGAACUCCGAAGUUAAACGUCCUUGGGCGAGUGUAGUACUAAGAUGGGUGACCUCUUGGGAAGUCCUCGUGUUGCACCCC
Non-coding RNA from Ricinus communis (castor bean), 119 nucleotides. The record is from Rfam. Lineage: Eukaryota; Viridiplantae; Streptophyta; Magnoliopsida; Malpighiales; Euphorbiaceae.